Non-coding RNA from Phalacrocorax carbo (great cormorant), 482 nucleotides. The record is from RefSeq and is a predicted model, not a curated record. NCBI's taxonomy places the organism in Eukaryota, Metazoa, Chordata, Aves, Suliformes, Phalacrocoracidae.
GGCUCUGAAAAGAAACUAGGCUGACUGGAGUUUAGUGAGAAUGGGUAACAUUUGCAGGGAAAUACGCAGGAGAAGAAAAAGAACAACGUUUUGGGGCAGUCACAACUUGUAUUGAACACUAGCAGAACUCUUUAAAGUCAUCACAUCAAACACCAGCAGAGAUGGGUCUCUGCUGGAUUGUGUCACUCAGCCUGCGGGAGAGCACACGCACCACAGUGGCAGGAACGGCCGACACCCGAGAGCGAGGAAAACACCUCCAAAGCAAUGGCACAUCUGAAGAGAAGAUCUCCACCUGAGAGAAAUCAGUCUUGACAAUGGCCACUGAGAUCAGGACAGUAACCAGCAAGCUUCACAAUAAACCAUCAUAUACACUAUUUUAGUUUGUCAAAACAAUUAGUGUUCAUUUUGGCUUUAUUCAGUUAAAUCUGCAGUGACUGAUCAGUAUAAAUUAUGUAUUAUGCUGCCCAGCUGUACUUGUUUAU